This 442-nucleotide ribosomal RNA is filed under the name uncultured Pseudomonas sp. RNAcentral describes it as "bacterial SSU rRNA". It matches the Rfam family "Bacterial small subunit ribosomal RNA", at positions 941 to 1382 of the family's 1533-position model. The record is from RNAcentral. Lineage: Bacteria; Pseudomonadati; Pseudomonadota; Gammaproteobacteria; Pseudomonadales; Pseudomonadaceae.
GUGGUUUAAUUCGAAGCAACGCGAAGAACCUUACCAGGCCUUGACGUGCAGAGAACUUUCCAGAGAUGGAUUGGUGCCUUCGGGAACUCUGACACAGGUGCUGCAUGGCUGUCGUCAGCUUGUGUCGUGAGAUGUUGGGUUAAGUCCCGUAACGAGCGCAACCCUUGUCCUUAGUUACCAGCACGUUAUGGUGGGCACUCUAAGGAGACUGCCGGUGACAAACCGGAGGAAGGUGGGGAUGACGUCAAGUCAUCAUGGCCCUUACGGCCUGGGCUACACACGUGCUACAAUGGUCGGUACAAAGGGUUGCCAAGCCGCGAGGUGGAGCUAAUCCCAUAAAACCGAUCGUAGUCCGGAUCGCAGUCUGCAACUCGAUUGCGUGAAGUCGGAAUCGCUAGUAAUCGUGAAUCAGAAUGUCACGGUGAAUACGUUCCCGGGCCUU